UACGGAGGGUGCGAGCGUUGUCCGGAAUCAUUGGGCGUAAAGAGCGCGCAGGCGGUCGUGCAAGUCGCGUGUGAAAGCCCCCGGCUCAACUGGGGAGGGUCACGCGAUACUGCUCGACUCGAAGGCAGGAGAGGGAAGUGGAAUUCCCGGUGUAGUGGUGAAAUGCGUAGAUAUCGGGAGGAACACCAGUGGCGAAGGCGACUUCCUGGCCUGUUCUUGACGCUGAGGCGCGAAAGCUAGGGUAGCAAACGGG
Molecule: ribosomal RNA, 253 nt
Filed under: uncultured bacterium
Lineage: Bacteria
Description: partial 16S ribosomal RNA
Rfam family: Bacterial small subunit ribosomal RNA
Source: RNAcentral